Molecule: small nuclear RNA, 22 nt
Filed under: Arabidopsis thaliana (thale cress)
Lineage: Eukaryota; Viridiplantae; Streptophyta; Magnoliopsida; Brassicales; Brassicaceae
Description: snRNA_07213
Source: RNAcentral
UGAAAACUUCACAAUACCGCCU